This 271-nucleotide long non-coding RNA is filed under the name Salvia miltiorrhiza (redroot sage). Its description in RNAcentral is "long non-coding RNA (SMIL_LNC009675)". Lineage: Eukaryota; Viridiplantae; Streptophyta; Magnoliopsida; Lamiales; Lamiaceae. The record is from RNAcentral.
GUCAUCGACCACCGCCGAUGCAGAGAGCGUGGGUGACAGACGAGACGGCGGCAGGUGGUCGGGGCUCGCCGGUGUGCCGUGCCCGAUCUCUUUCCGCCGCCUACGUAGCGCUUCAGAUCUGAGGUGCUGCUGCCCCUCUGUAAUGAUCCCGCUGACUCGGGCUUGGAGUCCGGUAGUGGGAGACGACGGCGUGGUAGCGUGUUGGUGGCGAGACGACGCAAGAGGCGUCGCACCGGCGGUGGUCUCGCGCGGCGGACCUGCGCGCUCGCGG